GCGGUCGAAGCCUAGUGGCGAGGCGUCCGGCAUCCAACCGGAAGAGGGCGGUUCAACUCCGACCCGACCGCUCCA
RNAcentral lists this transfer RNA (75 nucleotides) under Gemmatimonadales bacterium. RNAcentral's name for it is "tRNA-Gly". It matches the Rfam family "tRNA". From Rfam's summary of the family: Transfer RNA (tRNA) molecules are approximately 80 nucleotides in length. Their secondary structure includes four short double-helical elements and three loops (D, anti-codon, and T loops). The record is from RNAcentral. Lineage: Bacteria; Pseudomonadati; Gemmatimonadota; Gemmatimonadia; Gemmatimonadales.